CGCUGACUCAUGGUCAACAUGGUCAAUAUUCUCAAUCAACACAUCUUCCUGAAUUUGGGCACACACAGCAGUCCUCUGCCAUGUCUCAACAUUUGGCUUGUUUACAACCACUCACACACCUUGGACCCCGCUUGCAUGUACUGGUAAACUUUCUAAACAAUGAAGUUUGUCAAACAACAUUAAAUUAUAAGCCCUAUUUUUAGGGUUAAAAUCAUUUUUUUGAACAUUUAUCACAAAGAGCAUCUAUAUUGAUGACAUAAUAAAUUUGAAUUUGUUUAGAAAAGUCUUAGUUUUAACAUGAUACUACUGGAGGCAUUGGUAUUUCUUCAUAUUUUGGCUUUCAUUAUUUGUUAUUUAUUUAUUACAACAUUGUGCUUUGAAAGUCAUUUAAAUCCAAAUACAAACCAAUACUUGGGUAAUUAAAUAUGAAAAAUAAAGUUCGGGUUAGAAUAGUUUCAACACACAGAACAGGUGAAUUGAUGUUUUGUUAUGCUUCAUCUGCUGGAGAACGAGGCAUCCAAGUUAUUAUUGCUGGUGCAGGGGGUGCAGCCUAUUUGCUAGGUUUUAUUCUCUACUUUACUUUUAUUUCUUCCAAAUACAACAAUUUCAUUUUUUUUAUUUUUCAUUUUUUUCCAAAAUUUGUGAUUAGGUAUGGUAGCUACAGAGGCAUCCAAGUUAUUAUUGCUAGUGCAGGGGGUGCAACCUAUUUUCCAUGUUUUAUUCUCUACUUUACUUUUAUUUCUUCUAAAUACAACAAUUUCAAUUUUUUUUCAUUUUUUCCCAAUAUUUGUGAUUAGGUAUGCUAGCUGCAUUGACACCCUUACCUGUCAUUGGAGUUCCUGCGCGUGCUUCAGCAUUAGAUGGUCUUGACUCCCUUCUCUCAAUUGUUCAGGGUUCUGAAGGAGAAACCAAACUUGAGAAAGAGAAAGUGGGAGAUGUAUGUUAGUUGUGGUAGAGCUAACAAAUGGUUCUUCAGAGGAUACUAAAGAGAAAAUCUUGCAAAGGAUAUUUUUUGUUUUAUUUUGCAAAGGAUACCCCUCAUAUUUUCCCAAAUUACCCCUUCCUCUACAAUGUUUUUUUGUUUCUGUGUAUUUUGUGCAUUAGGUAAAGUUGAUGGAAGAAAGGAAUAUGAAGCCACUUGAUUCAAAUCUUGCAGCAUUAUCAGCAAAAUGCAGUAAAGGCUUGGAGUUGAAUUUGGCUAAGUCAUUCUUGAGUGAGACGAGCCAAUGUACAACUGCUUAUCCAUAUAAUCAGCUGCUUGGAGCAUUAGUCUUAAAGAAUUAUGAAAGGCAAGAUGCAACUUUACUUAGUAGGAAUUUGAUGUAGAGUAGAUUAGAUGCAAGUUUAGAUAUUGUAAAAAAUAGAAUUGUAUGACAUUAAAUUUUAUGCAAUGGAUUGUUUUUUUG
This is a non-coding RNA of Lactuca sativa (garden lettuce), 1406 nucleotides long. The record is from RefSeq and is a predicted model, not a curated record. NCBI's taxonomy places the organism in Eukaryota, Viridiplantae, Streptophyta, Magnoliopsida, Asterales, Asteraceae.